RNAcentral lists this ribosomal RNA (264 nucleotides) under Triticum aestivum (bread wheat). Its description in RNAcentral is "partial small subunit ribosomal RNA". Lineage: Eukaryota; Viridiplantae; Streptophyta; Magnoliopsida; Poales; Poaceae. The record is from RNAcentral.
AUGCGCGGCACCCAACGUUGGGUGCUUCAGGGCGACGCCAACACGGCCUACUUCCAGGCGAUUGCCAACGGCCAACGGCGCCGCAACUCCAUUCAUUCCUUGUGGGCGGGUGACUCUCAGCUUGUUCGUCCCUCGGACAUCCGCGCGCACGUAGAUGGCUUUUAUAAGCCCUUUUUACCCCCACCCCUCGGGGUGGGGCUGCACUGGCCCCCGAUACCUGGUCGGGAGACCAGCUUGUUUCCGCCGAGGCCAAUGGCGCUCUAG